RNAcentral lists this ribosomal RNA (399 nucleotides) under bacterium S1A-205-16S. RNAcentral's name for it is "bacterial SSU rRNA". It matches the Rfam family "Bacterial small subunit ribosomal RNA", at positions 66 to 481 of the family's 1533-position model. The record is from RNAcentral.
ACGAUGAACCACUUCGGUGGGGAUUAGUGGCGAACGGGUGAGUAACACGUGGGCAAUCUGCCCUGCACUCUGGGACAAGCCCUGGAAACGGGGUCUAAUACCGGAUACUGAUCCGUCUGGGCAUCCAGACGGUUCGAAAGCUCCGGCGGUGCAGGAUGAGCCCGCGGCCUAUCAGCUUGUUGGUGAGGUAGUGGCUCACCAAGGCGACGACGGGUAGCCGGCCUGAGAGGGCGACCGGCCACACUGGGACUGAGACACGGCCCAGACUCCUACGGGAGGCAGCAGUGGGGAAUAUUGCACAAUGGGCGAAAGCCUGAUGCAGCGACGCCGCGUGAGGGAUGACGGCCUUCGGGUUGUAAACCUCUUUCAGCAGGGAAGAAGCGAAAGUGACGGUACCUG